RNAcentral lists this ribosomal RNA (256 nucleotides) under uncultured bacterium. RNAcentral's name for it is "partial 16S ribosomal RNA". It matches the Rfam family "Bacterial small subunit ribosomal RNA", at positions 77 to 334 of the family's 1533-position model. The record is from RNAcentral.
CAAACUGGAGAUGGCGACCGGCGCACGGGUGAGUAACACGUAUCCAACCUGCCGAUAACUCGGGGAUAGCCUUUCGAAAGAAAGAUUAAUACCCGAUGGCAUAAUAGAACCGCAUGGUUUGAUUAUUAAAGAAUUUCGGUUUAUCGAUGGGGAUGCGUUCCAUUAGGCAGUUGGUGGGGUAACGGCCCACCAAACCUUCGAUGGAUAGGGGUUCUGAGAGGAAGGUCCCCCACAUUGGAACCGAGACACGGUCCAA